This 373-nucleotide ribosomal RNA is filed under the name uncultured bacterium. RNAcentral describes it as "bacterial SSU rRNA". It matches the Rfam family "Bacterial small subunit ribosomal RNA", at positions 527 to 898 of the family's 1533-position model. The record is from RNAcentral.
GUAGGGGACGAGCGUUAUCCGGAUUUACUGGGCGUAAAGCGCCCGUAGGCGGCUCUAUAAGUUGGACGUGAAAGCUCCUGGCUUAACUGGGAGAGGCCGUUCAAAACUGUGGGGCUAGAGUGAGGCAGAGGAGCGCGGAAUUCCCGGUGUAGUGGUGGAAUGCGUAGAUAUCGGGAGGAACACCAGUGGCGAAAGCGGCGCUCUGGGCCUAAACUGACGCUGAGGGGCGAAAGCGUGGGGAGCGAACGGGAUUAGAUACCCCGGUAGUCCACGCCGUAAACGAUGGAGACUAGGUGUAGGCGGAUAGAACCCCGUCUGUGCCGAAGCCAACGCGUUAAGUCUCCCGCCUGGGGAGUACGGCCGCAAGGUUAAA